AUUGAACGCUGGCGGCAUGCCUUACACAUGCAAGUCGAACGGUAACGCGGGGCAACCUGGCGACGAGUGGCGAACGGGUGAGUAAUGCAUCGGAACGUGCCCAGUAGUGGGGGUAGCCCGGCGAAAGCCGGAUUAAUACCGCAUACGACCUAUGGGUGAAAGGGGGGAGUCGCAAGACCUCUCGCUAUUGGAGCGGCCGAUGUCAGAUUAGGUAGUUGGUGGGGUAAGGCCUACCAAGCCGACGAUCUGUAGCUGGUCUGAGAGGACGACCAGCCACACUGGGACUGAGAGACGGCCCAGACUCCUACGGGAGGCAGCAGUGGGGAAUUUUGGACAAUGGACGCAAGUCUGAUCCAGCCAUUCCGCGUGCAGGAUGAAGGCCCUCGGGUUGUAAACUGCUUUUGUACGGAACGAAAGGUCUCUCCUAAUACGAGGGGCUCAUGACGGUACCGUAAGAAUAAGCACCGGCUAACUACGUG
RNAcentral lists this ribosomal RNA (479 nucleotides) under uncultured bacterium. RNAcentral describes it as "bacterial SSU rRNA". It matches the Rfam family "Bacterial small subunit ribosomal RNA", at positions 30 to 507 of the family's 1533-position model. The record is from RNAcentral.